This is a long non-coding RNA of Oncorhynchus keta (chum salmon), 658 nucleotides long. RefSeq lists it as uncharacterized. The record is from RefSeq and is a predicted model, not a curated record. NCBI's taxonomy places the organism in Eukaryota, Metazoa, Chordata, Actinopteri, Salmoniformes, Salmonidae. The transcript has 3 exons.
UGGGUAACUGCAGAACACUGUAUGAUAUAAGAAGGUAGUGUGACUCACAGAAGCCUUGGUGUUGAGGUGUGUGUGAGUACUGUAUGACUCACAGAAGCCUUGGUGUUGAGGUGUGUGUGUGAGUACUGUAUGACUCACAGAAGCCUUGGUGUUGAGGUGUGUGUGUGAGUACUGUAUGACUCACAGAAGCCUUGGUGUUGAGGUGUGUGUGUGAGUACUGUAUGACUCACAGAAGCCUUGGUGUUGAGGUGUGUGUGUGAGUACUGUAUGACUCACAGAAGCCUUGGUGUUGAGGUGUGUGUGUGAGUACUGUAUGACUCACAGAAGCCUUGGUGUUGAGGUGUGUGUGUGAGUACUGUAUGACUCACAGAAGCCUUGGUGUUGAGGUGUGUGUGUGAGUACUGUAUGACUCACAGAAGCCUUGGUGUUGAGGUGUGUGUGUGAGUACUGUAUGACUCACAGAAGCCUUGGUGUUGAGGUGUGUGUGUGAGUACUGUAUGACUCACAGAAGCCUUGGUGUUGAGGUGUGUGUGUGUGAGUACUGUAUGACUCACAGGGACGCUGGAGUUGUGGUUCAACUUCUCUCUGACUUUAAUGAUGGCCGUGAUCUCAUCCAGCUGUCUUUUCAGCUGCAGCUCAUCCACCUGAACCGCAAAAC